UGAAGGAUUUAUUUCUUCAGUCAAAGGCAGA
This 31-nucleotide non-coding RNA is filed under the name Rattus norvegicus (Norway rat). Lineage: Eukaryota; Metazoa; Chordata; Mammalia; Rodentia; Muridae. The record is from RNAcentral.